RNAcentral lists this unclassified non-coding RNA (401 nucleotides) under Hevea brasiliensis (rubber tree). The record is from RNAcentral. Lineage: Eukaryota; Viridiplantae; Streptophyta; Magnoliopsida; Malpighiales; Euphorbiaceae.
GAAAAAUUUAAAACUAUGAUAUUGAUAGCCACAAAAUCAACUACUUAAUUUAAAUAGUGCUAGCUUUACAAAAACAUCCACGCUUGGUUUUGCCCCUGGAGAAACUAGACCAAGUUGGACUUGUGUAGGAUACAAAAAAAUAAGCAAAGGCAAGCGUGGUACACGAAAUUUGUCCAUCAAACUUCAGUUACACAACCCCUGAAGGAAGGCGCAAAACCAGCUGUCCUCCGAAAACACUUUUAACGUAGUAGUAACAGAAGUCUGCUAAGAUGAAUGUCUGAACAACUUCAGAUAUAAGCACCAUUGAAGGCCAUAGACCAUGACCCAACGCAACUAGUAGAUGGCCGUUACUGUCCAAAACCUGGAGAAUCCAAUGAGCGCAGCUUAAGAACCUCGCAACA